Molecule: ribosomal RNA, 254 nt
Filed under: uncultured bacterium
Lineage: Bacteria
Description: partial 16S ribosomal RNA
Rfam family: Bacterial small subunit ribosomal RNA
Source: RNAcentral
UACGUAGGGUGCGAGCGUUGUCCGGAAUUAUUGGGCGUAAAGAGCUCGUAGGCGGUGUGUCGCGUCGGCCGUGAAAACCUGGGGCUCAACUCUGGGCGUGCGGUCGAUACGGGCAUCACUGGAGUUCGGCAGGGGAGACUGGAAUUCCUGGUGUAGCGGUGAAAUGCGCAGAUAUCAGGAGGAACACCGGUGGCGAAGGCGGGUCUCUGGGCCGAUACUGACGCUGAGGAGCGAAAGCAUGGGGAGCAAACGGG